RNAcentral lists this ribosomal RNA (301 nucleotides) under uncultured bacterium. RNAcentral's name for it is "partial 16S ribosomal RNA". It matches the Rfam family "Bacterial small subunit ribosomal RNA", at positions 509 to 808 of the family's 1533-position model. The record is from RNAcentral.
CAGCCGCCGCGUAAUACGUAGGGUGCAAGCGUUAAUCGGAAUUACUGGGCGUAAAGCGUGCGCAGGCGGUUUGUUAAGACAGAUGUGAAAUCCCCGGGCUCAACCUGGGAACUGCAUUUGUGACUGGCAAGCUAGAGUAUGGCAGAGGGGGGUGGAAUUCCGCGUGUAGCAGUGAAAUGCGUAGAUAUGCGGAGGAACACCGAUGGCGAAGGCAGCCCCCUGGGCCAAUACUGACGCUCAUGCACGAAAGCGUGGGGAGCAAACAGGAUUAGAUACCCCCGUAGUCCCUGUCUCUUAUACA